CAUGCAAGUCGAACGAAGCGCUUAAACGGAUUUCUUCGGAUUGAAGUUUUUGCGACUGAGUGGCGGACGGGUGAGUAACGCGUGGGUAACCUGCCUCGUACAGGGGGAUAACAGUUAGAAAUGACUGCUAAUACCGCAUAAGCGCACAGUGCUGCAUGGCACAGUGUGAAAAACUCCGGUGGUAUGAGAUGGACCCGCGUCUGAUUAGCUAGUUGGUGGGGUAACGGCCUACCAAGGCGACGAUCAGUAGCCGGCCUGAGAGGGUGAGCGGUCACAUUGGGACUGAGACACGGCCCAAACUCCUACGGGAGGCAGCAGUGGGGAAUAUUGCACAAUGGGGGAAACCCUGAUGCAGCGACGCCGCGUGAGCGAAGAAGUAUUUCGGUAUGUAAAGCUCUAUCAGCAGGGAAGAAAAUGACGGUACCUGACUAAGAAGCACCGGCUAAAUACGUGCCAGCAGCCGCGGUAAUACGUAUGGUGCAAGCGUUAUCCGGAUUUACUGGGUGUAAAGGGAGCGUAGACGGUUGUGUAAGUCUGAUGUGAAAGCCCGGGGCUCAACCCCGGGACUGCAUUGGAAACUAUGUAACUAGAGUGUCGGAGAGGUAAGCGGAAUUCCUAGUGUAGCGGUGAAAUGCGUAGAUAUUAGGAGGAACACCAGUGGCGAAGGCGGCUUACUGGACGAUCACUGACGUUGAGGCUCGAAAGCGUGGGGAGCAAACAGGAUUAGAUACCCUGGUAGUCCACGCCGUAAACGAUGACUACUAGGUGUCGGGGAGCAAAGCUCUUCGGUGCCGCAGCAAACGCAAUAAGUAGUCCACCUGGGGAGUACGUUCGCAAGAAUGAAACUCAA
This 850-nucleotide ribosomal RNA is filed under the name uncultured bacterium. RNAcentral describes it as "bacterial SSU rRNA". It matches the Rfam family "Bacterial small subunit ribosomal RNA", at positions 54 to 904 of the family's 1533-position model. The record is from RNAcentral.